GACGAACGCUGGCGGCGUGCUUAACACAUGCAAGUCGAACGAUGAAGAAGAGAAACGCGAACUUCGGUUCAACUUUCACUUCGGAUUAGUGGCAGACGGGUGAGUAACGCGUGAGCAACCUACCUCUUACAUAGGGAUAGCCUCGGGAAACCGUGAUUAAUACCAUAUGACACAUUCAUAAGGCAUCUUAAGAAUGUUAAAGCUACGGCGGUAAGAGAUGGGCUCGCGUCCCAUCAGCUAGUUGGUGAGGUAACGGCCCACCAAGGCGAGGAUGGGUAACCGGGCUGAGAGAGUGAACGGUCACAUUGGAACUGAGACACGGUCCAAACUCCUACGGGAGGCAGCAGUGGGGAAUAUUGCACAAUGGAGGGAACUCUGAUGCAGCGACGCCGCGUGAGCGAUGAAGGAAUUCGUUUCGUAAAGCUCUGUUCUAUGGGAAGAAAAGGACUGUACCAUAGGAGAAAGCCCCGGCUAAAUACGUG
Molecule: ribosomal RNA, 482 nt
Filed under: uncultured bacterium
Lineage: Bacteria
Description: partial 16S ribosomal RNA
Rfam family: Bacterial small subunit ribosomal RNA
Source: RNAcentral